This is a long non-coding RNA of Sardina pilchardus (European sardine), 933 nucleotides long. RefSeq lists it as uncharacterized. The transcript has 3 exons. NCBI's taxonomy places the organism in Eukaryota, Metazoa, Chordata, Actinopteri, Clupeiformes, Clupeidae. The record is from RefSeq and is a predicted model, not a curated record.
UGCUUUACACCUGAAAAUGAAACCAGAGGAUAUAAAGAAACAAUACACUUCUGCUAUUUUGUUUGCAAAGUUAAUAAAUGUUGUUCUGUUGUACAAAGCUCUCUUCCCCUGUUCCACAGUAGGUGAAGUGGUUUGAGGUGGACAGAUUUACAGACAUGGAUCAAAUGAAUAACAUGAGAGAGAACACUACUGGACUGGAGCGAGACACAAGUAAAUGAACAUGAAAUUAAAAUGACAAUCCCCCUGAAAGUCAAUACGCCUACAAAAACACCAUAAAACUCAGAACUCCACUCCAGAACUUCAAAGUCAGAGAAGAUGUUCCAGAUGAACACUCUGGUGAAGGUGAAAGCUGUUUGGUCACAUUUUUACUUGAAUAUACCAUUUGACUGCAGCCUUUGAUGCAGUGGAUCAUGACAUCCUGAUAGCUCGUUUGGCGCAGUGGGUGGCCAUUAGUGGCACAGCACUAGAAUGGUUCAGGUCCUACUUGUCCCAGCAAACAUUGUGUUAGCCUUGCUGACUCUGUGUACUCUGUCUGAAUCAUUGACUGGUGUGCUUUGAAAUGAAAAUUGCAUGGUAAAGUACAUAUUAUGGAACAUUAUGGUUUUCUUUCAUGAGCAAAUGUUAGGCCGGUUACUAUGGAGUUCUUUCAAGUCAAAUGGUCAUGUGUUGAGAGAACUGGCAUGCAUCACUCUAUCAGUGCCCUCCAGCAAACAUCAGCAGGAUUUCAAUCAUAUAUUCCAAUUGUUCCCUUUAUUGACUCAUUGUAUGUGAUCAAAUGUAUGUCUUGAUUAAUAACUGGUUAUUGGAUUGCAUUGCUCACCUCAUUCUCCUUCAACUGGGAUUUGGGUUGAGGGCUGGGGUCCUAUUCCUGAGGCUGAAUCUGUAGUAUGUAUGUGAGGGCAUCUCAUUAGUUAUGAUUAUGAAACCAGUUCU